UUUCCGUAGGUGAACCUGCGGAAGGAUCAUUAAAGAAUGUGGUACCGAUUAUUGGUACUAAUUAAUCAUCCUACCCUUUGUGAAUUUGUUUGUAACGAAUUUUUUUAAAUGGGUCUUUCCCUAAGUUGGAUUGUAGUAAAAUACAAAAAAGACUUAGGGGAAUGACUUUUUUAAAAGACUUUUUUUUAAAUUAAAACUUUUUGUAUUCAUUUGUCUAAAAUUUAUUUUUAUAAUAUAAAAACAACUUUUGACAAUGGAUCUCUUGGUUCUCGCAACGAUGAAGAACGCAGCAAAAUGCGAUAAGUAGUGUGAAUUGCAGAAUACGUGAAUCAUCGAAUCUUCGAACGCAUAUUGCACUUUUUUAGUUACUAAAAAAGUAUGUCUGUUUGAGUAUCAGUAAAAUAUUCUCACAAACAUGUAUUGUUUGUGGUUAUGAGUGUUUUACAACGAUAAACAAGUUGUUUCACUUUAAAUUCUUUUUAAUUGAAUCUGUACCAAUUCAUAAAUUAAAAUUGGAUAAAAUUUUCCUUUAACGAGGAAUAACCUAAACAAUUUUAAAUUUUAUGGAUUAAUAACAUUCAUCAAAGGAAUCUAUACAACAAAUAACUUGAUCUCAAAUCAGAUAAGAGUACCCGCUGAACUUAAGCAUAUCAAUAAGCGGAGGAAAAGAAACUAACAAGGAUUCCCUUAGUAACGGCGAGUGAAGCGGGAAGAGCUCAAAUUUGAAAUCUUCAAGGUUUGACCUUAACGAAUUGUAGUUUAUAGAAGUGUUUUCUGUUGGAGUUUUGGUAAAAGUUCUUUGGAAUAGGACAUCAUAGAGGGUGAGAAUCCCGUAUUUGACCAUGACUUUCCAGCUGUGUGAUACACUUUCAAAGAGUCGGAUUGUUUGGGAAUGCAGUCCAAAAUGGGUGGUAAAUUUCAUCUAAAGCUAAAUAUUGGCGAGAGACCGAUAGCGAACAAGUACCGUGAGGGAAAGAUGAAAAGAACUUUGAAAAGAGAGUUAAACAGUACGUGAAAUUGUCAAAAGGGAAGCGUUUGACACCAGUGUUGUUUUCUCGAAAAUCAAUUUAAUGGUUCUUGUCUUUAAGUUAUUGUGACUUUAUCAGCGCAUUUCUUAUUUUACUUGACUCAUUGAAUGCACUUUUCGUUUAACAAGUCAACAUCAAUUUCUUUGGUGGUAAAAAGUUUAAAGGAAGGUGGCUUGGACUUCGGUUCAAGUGUUUAUAGCCUUUUUUCUAUGCCAUCGGAGAGAUUGAGGUCUGCAGCGUAGAUCCUUCGGGGUUAGAUACUUUGUGCUAAGUUAUAGUUUUUAUAGACAACUUGUUGACUAUAAUUAACCCUGUAAUUUACUCGCUUAGGCUAUUUUACCUACGCUUAGGAUGUUG
Molecule: unclassified non-coding RNA, 1385 nt
Filed under: uncultured Neocallimastigales
Lineage: Eukaryota; Fungi; Neocallimastigomycota; Neocallimastigomycetes; Neocallimastigales
Description: partial contains small subunit ribosomal RNA, internal transcribed spacer 1, 5.8S ribosomal RNA, internal transcribed spacer 2, and large subunit ribosomal RNA
Rfam family: Eukaryotic large subunit ribosomal RNA (bases 609-1385)
Source: RNAcentral